Molecule: long non-coding RNA, 2518 nt
Organism: Episyrphus balteatus (marmalade hoverfly)
Lineage: Eukaryota; Metazoa; Arthropoda; Insecta; Diptera; Syrphidae
Exons: 4
Source: RefSeq, a predicted model, not a curated record
GAAAACAAUGGCUCUCAAAGCGUCCAUAUUAGGUUGAUCAACUGAAGAGUGAAUGUGAAAAGAUUGCCACUUUGACUUAAAGUAUCGGCAAAGGUGCCGCAACACCAAUCGCUAGCCCGAAACUUAUUUCGUUCUCACCCAAAGCAACAAAACUCCGCAAUCUUGUCAAAAAAAGGACGACAAAUUGGUUGUCCGUCUUGGUGGCAAUGAAGGACUACAAAAAUUUGAUCUCUCUGGUUUGCUGGUACAGAGAAUCUGAUACGUUCAGACGAAUUAAGCUGGAAAACAAAGGCAAACAUGGAAUUUAAAUACGAACGCAUAAAUGUUGACAAAGAAUUCUUCAAAACACGCUCACAAAUCGGACUCAAUAACCAAGCAUAUUUCAUGCACAUAUGCAGGAAAUAUAAAAAUUAUCUAACAACACUUCCAACUAAUGGAUUACAACCUCCUCCAAAUUAUUUAUAUAAGUAAUUCAAUUUCACUUAUGAAUAAAUGGCUAUUUUUUUUAUCAAACUGAAUAUACCAUACAACCUUCGACGUAGACAAAUUUCGUCAUCAACAAUAACAUCCAUACACCUUAUUUACCAGACCGAAAAUUUCAACCCGAAGUAGGCUGUAAUUAUUAGAACUGCCAAAAAAAAUAACAAACAAAAAAAAAAUGGAAUAUCAAACCAACUAGAAUUGUAUAAUGGAUCAUUCACGCCCGCAUCCGCCUGUUUAGAAAAAAAAGGAUUUUCUUUACUAAAUCUGCUGGGGCUGCAUUUUCUUUUGUUAAAAAAAAAAUGAGGAAUAUGGAGUAAUCUAAAAAGGCAAUUUCUUCUUGGUUUGGGCUUUCAAGGCCAUAUUAGUUGCAUGGGAAAUCACAUUCGCACAUUUGUUUCCAAACGUCAUUGAGUUCCUGUUAGAUGCUCAGAUAUUCGAUGUGAUUUUUUGCAAUUGCAAAUGGGCGAGUAUACGACAAUAGUGUUGUGAUAUAUUGUGAUUGGAUGGAAGGUUAAUGACUGUUCGAGUAUUUGUUGCAUCCUCUGUAUGAGACAAAACUACACAUACGCAAUUGAUUCUCUUUGUAUUCGAGAAGGUACUCAAUGUUGAGCCCAUUUUCUUUGCAUUAAGAAUUGGCGAGCGGUUUAUGAAAGAACAAGAAAUAUUAUUUGGCUGUCGUGACAAAGUUUUUGUGUCCCCAUCUUUAAGAGUAUACAAAAAACUCUCCAUCUGUUCUCAUCGGUGACGGAGGAAUCAACACUUGCACCAGGUCGUGUAUAUUAAUAUGCUUGUAAGACAAAUGGAGCUUGAACGCUUGUCUUUUGAACUCCAGUUCGCCUGCCAUUUAGUAGAUGGCGCAAACCCACGUAUCUGAGAAAAAACACUUCAAAUUUAUGAUUUUGGUUGCAUUCAUACGUUAUUUUUAUUGUAAGAUGCGUUUUAAUAAAAUAAUUUUUCUAAAAAAAUGUAAAUCUCUAAUUUCUAGAUUUUAGGAAAGAUUUUUGUAAAUCAAAACAAAUUAAAUUUUUCAACAGAGUCUGCGAUUGGUGAUCUUUUGGUGAAUUUGAGAUCGGUAAAAACAAAAUUGAGACACACAGUGUUUGCGGAACUUGGGGUAUUGCUUAUGGUCUGGUAGUUGCAUUAUGGCUGCAUAAGUGCAUACGCUAAUGCUUUGGCAUUGGCUUCUUGUUGCUAUUGCUGAUGUUGCUACUGUUGCCGUGGGUGAUGAUUGUGAGUUGGCCGUUGUAGUGUGGAAUGAUUUAAAGGCCUGAAUCAUUGACAAUUGGCCUUAUUUGUAUCUUGUGGUCAACUGGAGGCUGAUUUUGGGCUGUUGAUUUAUUGUGUCAACCUAAGAAAAAUAAAGCUUUUGAAAAUAGUAUGAUCUAAAAAUCCUAAAUUAAGGGUUUACCUGUGAUGACUAAAAAUUGCCAAUUAGGCUAAGGAACUUCAACUGCGGACGUCAUUAGACUCUGUUUAUUAUAUUUGGUGUUUGGGGCUGAUAUACUGAAGUUGUUGUAAUUGUUGUAUGCGCACUUGUCGAUGAUGUUGCCGCUGCUGCUUUUAAGCGUUUUGCUAUAUAGUCUUUUUAUGUUGUUUGCGAUUGACACCAACUUCGGUGGCUUGACGCAGGUUUUUAAGCAUUACUUUGUUUAUUGGAAAGCUUCUUCAGCACAGAUGGUGGACAAUUGUCUAUAAAUUUAAUAAGCUAGUUAGACACCAUAGAAUCUAGAAAAAAAAAUAGCUUACCAGAAUCGAUGUCUUCCACAGCUUUGUGUUUCUUGUAACCAACCAGUCCACUGGACUGGCAGCUAGUUUGUAAAUUCUUUCUUUCAACGGUGUUUGAGUCUCACGCAUGAAAUCCUAAUGCUGGGUCAAAAAUAACGUUGCCCACUCUGGGCUUAUUUUGUUCGUCUCGUACUGUUUAGGAGAGCACUUGCUCUUGAUAGUUUUAACCUGAUUGAAGGCUUUUUUCCAGAUUCAAUGAGAAUUUGAUUUCGAUACAGCAAAAGCUACUGUGACGAUAGUCCUGAGUUUC